GAUGAACGCUGGCGGCGUGCCUAAUACAUGCAAGUCGAGCGAACAGAUGAGGAGCUUGCUCCUCUGACGUUAGCGGCGGACGGGUGAGUAACACGUGGAUAACCUACCUAUAAGACUGGGAUAACUUCGGGAAACCGGAGCUAAUACCGGAUAAUAUAUUGAACCGCAUGGUUCAAUAGUGAAAGACGGUUUUGCUGUCACUUAUAGAUGGAUCCGCGCCGCAUUAGCUAGUUGGUAAGGUAACGGCUUACCAAGGCAACGAUGCGUAGCCGACCUGAGAGGGUGAUCGGCCACACUGGAACUGAGACACGGUCCAGACUCCGACGGGAGGCAGCAGUAGGGAAUCUUCCGCAAUGGGCGAAAGCCUGACGGAGCAACGCAGCGUGAGUGAUGAAGGUCUUCGGAUCGUAAAACUCUGUUAUUAGGGAAGAACAAAUGUGUAAGUAACUAUGCACGUCUUGACGGUACCUAAUCAGAAAGCCACGGCUAACUACGUG
RNAcentral lists this ribosomal RNA (497 nucleotides) under uncultured bacterium. RNAcentral describes it as "partial 16S ribosomal RNA". It matches the Rfam family "Bacterial small subunit ribosomal RNA", at positions 28 to 507 of the family's 1533-position model. The record is from RNAcentral.